RNAcentral lists this ribosomal RNA (446 nucleotides) under uncultured bacterium. RNAcentral describes it as "bacterial SSU rRNA". It matches the Rfam family "Bacterial small subunit ribosomal RNA", at positions 29 to 521 of the family's 1533-position model. The record is from RNAcentral.
AACGAACGCUGGCGGCAUGCCUAACACAUGCAAGUCGAACGAGACCUUCGGGUCUAGUGGCGCACGGGUGCGUAACGCGUGGGAACCUGCCUUUAGGUUCGGAAUAACUCAGAGAAAUUUGAGCUAAUACCGGAUAAUGUCUUCGGACCAAAGAUUUAUCGCCUUUAGAUGGGCCCGCGUUGGAUUAGCUAGUUGGUGGGUAAAGGCCUACCAAGGCGACGAUCCAUAGCUGGUCUGAGAGGAUGAUCAGCCACACUGGGACUGAGAUACGGCCCAGACUCCUACGGGAGGCAGCAGUGGGGAAUAUUGGACAAUGGGGGCAACCCUGAUCCAGCAAUGCCGCGUGAGUGAUGAAGGCCUUAGGGUUGUAAAGCUCUUUUGCCAGGGAAGAUGAUGACUGUACCUGGAGAAUAAGCCCCGGCUAACUUCGUGCCAGCAGCCGCGGU